GAUGAACGCUGGCGGCGUGCUUAACACAUGCAAGUCGAACGGAAAGGCCAGUGCUUGCACUGGUACUCGAGUGGCGAACGGGUGAGUAACACGUGGGUGAUCUGCCCUGCACUUCGGGAUAAGCCUGGGAAACUGGGUCUAAUACCGGAUAGGACAAUGGUUUGGAUGCCGUUGUGGAAAGUUUUUUCGGUGUGGGAUGAGCUCGCGGCCUAUCAGCUUGUUGGUGGGGUAAUGGCCUACCAAGGCGUCGACGGGUAGCCGGCCUGAGAGGGUGUACGGCCACAUUGGGACUGAGAUACGGCCCAGACUCCUACGGGAGGCAGCAGUGGGGAAUAUUGCACAAUGGGCGCAAGCCUGAUGCAGCGACGCCGCGUGGGGGAUGACGGCCUUCGGGUUGUAAACUCCUUUCGCUAGGGACGAAGCGUAUUUGUGACGGUACCUGGAGAAGAAGCACCGGCUAACUACGU
Molecule: ribosomal RNA, 467 nt
Filed under: uncultured bacterium
Lineage: Bacteria
Description: partial 16S ribosomal RNA
Rfam family: Bacterial small subunit ribosomal RNA
Source: RNAcentral